Harmonia axyridis is the source of this 453-nucleotide long non-coding RNA. RefSeq lists it as uncharacterized. The transcript has 3 exons. Lineage: Eukaryota; Metazoa; Arthropoda; Insecta; Coleoptera; Coccinellidae. The record is from RefSeq and is a predicted model, not a curated record.
AAUAAAAACUGAAAUAUAAAGCCUGAAUUUUCAUUCAAAGCUCUCAAUUGAGCAUUCAGAAAUUAUGAAAAGAUAUUAUGAAGUAUAUUUUGUUAAAAAAUCUCGUUAUCUAGAAAACCGGAAGUUUAAAUGAAGAUACAAUUGACUGAACUGUUUGCUACGCAAUACCAAAUGUGGAACAUUUAAUUCAACUCUGUGGAUAUGAUAUCCCUUCAAAGGACAAUCUAUGCUGCAGUAAUGGGUGCUGUAACUACAUACCUUGUCAUACUCGUACAGCUCAAGAAAUAGAAGCUUCACCAACACGCGAUAUGAGCAAGAUAUAUGCAUUUCAACAACAAUUAACCUAUUUAUACAUUAUAUCAAACAUGAAUUCAUUGGAAAAUUAUUUUUUCUUUCAUCAUCCUGUACAACAUAUUCAACCCUAUCCAUCAAAAUAAAAUAGAUGUGUGGUUA